UUUCACAUUUCUUUAAGAAAGUAAGAUCCCUGAGAGAUGAUCAGGUAGAUAGGUCAGGAGUGGAAGUACAGUGAUGUAUGGAGCGGACUGAUACUAAUCGAUCGAGGACUUAACCAA
RNAcentral lists this ribosomal RNA (117 nucleotides) under Enterococcus faecium. Its description in RNAcentral is "partial 23S ribosomal RNA". It matches the Rfam family "Bacterial large subunit ribosomal RNA", at positions 2810 to 2925 of the family's 2925-position model. The record is from RNAcentral. Lineage: Bacteria; Bacillati; Bacillota; Bacilli; Lactobacillales; Enterococcaceae.